This is a long non-coding RNA of Glossina fuscipes, 350 nucleotides long. RefSeq lists it as uncharacterized. The record is from RefSeq and is a predicted model, not a curated record. The transcript has 2 exons. NCBI's taxonomy places the organism in Eukaryota, Metazoa, Arthropoda, Insecta, Diptera, Glossinidae.
AGGAAGAGUGUCGAGUAUCCAAGUUCCCCUUGAGAUUUUAAAUAAGCAAAAUAAGCAACAACAAGACAGAGUGUGUUCAAGCGUGCAUUAACUAACAAUAACAGUACAUCAAAUAAUAUGUAAAAAGGCAAAAAAAAAACGCAAAUUCUUACUUUUCGUUAAAUCCAAUCAAACGUAAAUGAAACAAUACAAAAAACAACAAAAUUUGCAUACCCUUGCAAAAGACUUAUUUAAAAAAAAAAAAAAAAACAAAAUCCACAACUAAUGCUGUAAUCAUGAACCAAGUUCAACCUAGCGUUUCCUUACAAUUAAUUUAACCCUACAGGAAAACGAGAAAAAAACAAAAAAAA